UAACGUCAGGAGUGGAAAAUAUUGACAGGUGGUUGACUGAGUGAAAAUACACGCUAUAAAUAGAGUCAUCUGGGACAAACUAGGGAAAGUUGAGCUGAGCCUCAGUGUUGAACGUAGAUCAUUCAGUCGCUCUGAUCCUGAAUUUGUAUUCUGUGCUUCGUUGCCGAAUAAACAAGCAUGCCUUCCUCCAAGUGGAAGAUAGCUGCACUCUUCACGCUUACUUUUUGUUUGUUGGUGCUUCCAAAAGGAUCCCAUGGCGGCACUGUUCUUGUGAGCCCAUGCAAAGUGGAUUGCAACCGCAGCCAACGGGAAAAAGACCAAUGCUGCCAGGCCCAUAACCAUCUCUCUUUUGCGAGCUGUACUGUAGGCCAAGACGACUUCCUUUGUAAUACAAAAUAAUGUUGUUUGGGUUUGUGAACGUUUCCGAUUCGUAUUUACAAAUUAAAAUGUUAUCAUUCCAGUGAUAA
Long non-coding RNA from Bemisia tabaci, 467 nucleotides. RefSeq lists it as uncharacterized. The record is from RefSeq and is a predicted model, not a curated record. NCBI's taxonomy places the organism in Eukaryota, Metazoa, Arthropoda, Insecta, Hemiptera, Aleyrodidae.